AUUCCCCAUGUGACAUAAAAGGCACCAUUUAUGCAAUUAUUAAAUUUCUUCCAAUUUUGAAAGCCCUUCACAGUGGAUGUAUCUGAACCACACCUCCCAACUGGUUUUCUUGCAAAAGGAAAGAAAAAAAAAAAAAGACAGCGUCUUUUGUCGGAGAAUAUUAUAACCAAGGAAAUUUGUCAAACCACUUUUUUUUUGGAACGGACGUGGAUGUUUUGGUGGGCUGGAAAAUGAAUAUUUUACAUCUUUAGGCUAAUAUGGCCCAAGAUUAAUAUAUGCUCUCCUAACUAUAAGUGUCAAUUGAUCUACGCAAACCAAGAUCACACACUAAAAAAUUCAAACCAAUACCUUCUAUGGGUUUUCCAAAGUUUUGAGGAGGCUACUCAUCAUCUAAAUCAAGUUUCUCAUCAUUAGCGGUGCCACCAGCAGUAACAGAUGUUGGCAGGGCUCAAGGCAUCCUCUAGCCCUUGUGAUGUUUUCCCCUUGUAGAAACGACCACACAUGUAAAUUUUUAUAGCAAUUAAUUUUUUUUUAAAAAAUGUAUUAAAGUUCUAUCGACUAAUUUAAUUCUUUGCUAUUUUUCAAGAAUGGGGCUAAAGUGGAGAAAGGCAUGGUGCAAAUGACAUUAAUGGCCAUUGAGUUAAUUAGAAAAAGGAAUUAAAUUGUGGUGGUUUCUAUUGUAAUCUUUUGAAAAUGAACACAAAAGGAAAAAUAGACCAAA
Long non-coding RNA from Gossypium arboreum, 721 nucleotides. RefSeq lists it as uncharacterized. The record is from RefSeq and is a predicted model, not a curated record. The transcript has 2 exons. NCBI's taxonomy places the organism in Eukaryota, Viridiplantae, Streptophyta, Magnoliopsida, Malvales, Malvaceae.